GGAUUGUGGCUCAGUGGUAGAGCGCUCGCCUAGCAUGUGCAAGGCCCUGGGUUCCAUCCUUAGCACCA
This 68-nucleotide transfer RNA is filed under the name Marmota monax (woodchuck). RNAcentral describes it as "tRNA.Ala". The record is from RNAcentral. Lineage: Eukaryota; Metazoa; Chordata; Mammalia; Rodentia; Sciuridae.